AGUGAACGCUGGCGGUAGGCCUAACACAUGCAAGUCGAACGGCAGCACAGUAAGAGCUUGCUCUUACGGGUGGCGAGUGGCGGACGGGUGAGGAAUACAUCGGAAUCUACUUUUUCGUGGGGGAUAACGUAGGGAAACUUACGCUAAUACCGCAUACGACCUACGGGUGAAAGCAGGGGAUCUUCGGACCUUGCGCGAUUGAAUGAGCCGAUGUCGGAUUAGCUAGUUGGCGGGGUAAAGGCCCACCAAGGCGACGAUCCGUAGCUGGUCUGAGAGGAUGAUCAGCCACACUGGAACUGAGACACGGUCCAGACUCCUACGGGAAGCAGCAGUGGGGAAUAUUGGACAAUGGGCGCAAGCCUGAUCCAGCCAUACCGCGUGGGUGAAGAAGGCCUUCGGGUUUUAAAGCCCUUUUGUUGGGAAAGAAAAGCAGCAGGUUAAUACCCCGCUGUUCUGACGGUACCCAAAGAAUAAGCACCGGCUAACUUCGUG
RNAcentral lists this ribosomal RNA (492 nucleotides) under uncultured bacterium. Its description in RNAcentral is "partial 16S ribosomal RNA". It matches the Rfam family "Bacterial small subunit ribosomal RNA", at positions 29 to 507 of the family's 1533-position model. The record is from RNAcentral.